CCCUGGCUCAGGACGAACGCAGGCGGCGUGCCUAAUACAUGCAAGUCGAGCGAACCUGCAGGAGCUUGCUCCUGUUGGUUAGCGGCGGACGGGUGAGUAACACGUGGGCAACCUGCCUGUAAGACUGGGAUAACACCGGGAAACCGGUGCUAAUACCGGAUAAUCCUUUUCCUCUCAUGAGGAAAAGCUGAAAGUCGGUUUCGGCUGACACUUACAGAUGGGCCCGCGGCGCAUUAGCUAGUUGGUGAGGUAACGGCUCACCAAGGCGACGAUGCGUAGCCGACCUGAGAGGGUGAUCGGCCACACUGGGACUGAGACACGGCCCAGACUCCUACGGGAGGCAGCAGUAGGGAAUCUUCCACAAUGGACGAAAGUCUGAUGGAGCAACGCCGCGUGAGCGAUGAAGGCCUUCGGGUCGUAAAGCUCUGUUGUUAGGGAAGAACAAGUACCGGAGUAACUGCCGGUACCUUGACGGUACCUAACCAGAAAGCCACGGCUAACUA
This 503-nucleotide ribosomal RNA is filed under the name Bacillaceae bacterium CL3.83. RNAcentral describes it as "bacterial SSU rRNA". It matches the Rfam family "Bacterial small subunit ribosomal RNA", at positions 17 to 503 of the family's 1533-position model. Lineage: Bacteria; Bacillati; Bacillota; Bacilli; Caryophanales; Bacillaceae. The record is from RNAcentral.